ACGAACGCUGGCUGCGUGCUUAACACAUGCAAGUCGAACGCUGAAGCCGACAGCUUGCUGUUGGUGGAUGAGUGGCGAACGGGUGAGUAACACGUGAGUAACCUGCCCCUGAUUUCGGGAUAAGCCUGGGAAACUGGGUCUAAUACCGGAUACGACCUCCUGACGCAUGUUGGGUGGUGGAAAGUUUUUCGAUCGGGGAUGGGCUCGCGGCCUAUCAGCUUGUUGGUGGGGUAAUGGCCUACCAAGGCGACGACGGGUAGCCGGCCUGAGAGGGCGACCGGCCACACUGGGACUGAGACACGGCCCAGACUCCUACGGGAGGCAGCAGUGGGGAAUAUUGCACAAUGGGGGAAACCCUGAUGCAGCGACGCAGCGUGCGGGAUGACGGCCUUCGGGUUGUAAACCGCUUUCAGCAGGGAAGAAGCGAAAGUGACGGUACCUGCAGAAGAAGUACCGGCUAACUACGUGCCAGCAGCCGCGGUAAUACGUAGGGUACGAGCGUUGUCCGGAAUUAUUGGGCGUAAAGAGCUCGUAGGUGGUUGGUCACGUCUGCUGUGGAAACGCAACGCUUAACGUUGCGCGUGCAGUGGGUACGGGCUGACUAGAGUGCAGUAGGGGAGUCUGGAAUUCCUGGUGUAGCGGUGAAAUGCGCAGAUAUCAGGAGGAACACCGGUGGCGAAGGCGGGACUCUGGGCUGUAACUGACACUGAGGAGCGAAAGCAUGGGGAGCGAACAGGAUUAGAUACCCUGGUAGUCCAUGCCGUAAACGUUGGGCACUAGGUGUGGGGGACAUUCCACGUUCUCCGCGCCGUAGCUAACGCAUUAAGUGCCCCGC
RNAcentral lists this ribosomal RNA (835 nucleotides) under actinobacterium M_Sw_oHS_04/11_10_3(2). RNAcentral's name for it is "bacterial SSU rRNA". It matches the Rfam family "Bacterial small subunit ribosomal RNA", at positions 29 to 872 of the family's 1533-position model. The record is from RNAcentral. Lineage: Bacteria; Bacillati; Actinomycetota; Actinomycetes.